GCGGGGCCGCGGGGCCAGGCGGGCUGGGAUUGGGCGGAGGCGCUCGAGCGCUGAUUGGGCAGCGCUGCCGGCCCGCGGUAUAAAGGACCGGCGGGGGGGGUGUGGCCGGUUGUGUGUGUGAGGGCUGAGGGCGCGGCUCCGCUGCUGCCCGGGCUGCGGAGGGGAGAGCGCCUUGGCCGCUGGUUGUGCCCUCCCUGGGGCUCAGCUCAGGUCAGUGCCCAGCGGCUGGUGGAGUGUGGCGAGUUGUGCUUCCUGCCGGGCGGGAGCUGCCUUGGGAAGCUGCUCCGUCCCCACGGCUGUGCCGAGCUGGGAGCUUGGACAGCAGGAUGUCGAGUGCCACUGUGUCCCUGAGGUCACCCUUUCUC
Long non-coding RNA from Pipra filicauda (Wire-tailed manakin), 365 nucleotides. RefSeq lists it as uncharacterized. Lineage: Eukaryota; Metazoa; Chordata; Aves; Passeriformes; Pipridae. The transcript has 3 exons. The record is from RefSeq and is a predicted model, not a curated record.